This 449-nucleotide ribosomal RNA is filed under the name uncultured bacterium. RNAcentral's name for it is "partial 16S ribosomal RNA". It matches the Rfam family "Bacterial small subunit ribosomal RNA", at positions 29 to 523 of the family's 1533-position model. The record is from RNAcentral.
AACGAACGCUGGCGGCAUGCCUAACACAUGCAAGUCGAACGAGACCUUCGGGUCUAGUGGCGCACGGGUGCGUAACGCGUGGGAAUCUGCCCUUUGGUUCGGAAUAACAGCUGGAAACGACUGCUAAUCCCGGAUGAUGACGAAAGUCCAAAGAUUUAUCGCCAGAGGAUGAGCCCGCGUAGGAUUAGCUAGUUGGUGUGGUAAAGGCGCACCAAGGCGACGAUCCUUAGCUGGUCUGAGAGGAUGAUCAGCCACACUGGGACUGAGACACGGCCCAGACUCCUACGGGAGGCAGCAGUGGGGAAUAUUGGACAAUGGGCGAAAGCCUGAUCCAGCAAUGCCGCGUGAGUGAUGAAGGCCUUAGGGUUGUAAAGCUCUUUUACCCGGGAUGAUAAUGACAGUACCGGGAGAAUAAGCUCCGGCUAACUCCGUGCCAGCCGCCGCGGUAA